Molecule: long non-coding RNA, 600 nt
Organism: Spinacia oleracea (spinach)
Lineage: Eukaryota; Viridiplantae; Streptophyta; Magnoliopsida; Caryophyllales; Amaranthaceae
Exons: 3
Source: RefSeq, a predicted model, not a curated record
UCUGCCUCAACACAAAACAAUCACUGCAGUUAGGGUUUUACAUUUCAUUUCCUUUUUUACACUUCAUUUUCCUUAGCCGUUUUUUCUAUCCUUCGAUCUCCUUUGUUGUUUUCUUCAUUUCAGGUUGCCAUUUUUUCACUGAAUCCCUUGUUUCUUUGAUCUUUUCGCAUCCUUAUCUCCAUUCUUUGUUGAAGAAAUUCGGGCUUUGAUCGAACUUCUUCCGUGUUUAUGGUUCACAAAGAUGGAGAGCAUAAGCAAACCGUCUUCCGUAAGUAUUUCAAGAUCUUGAUACAAACAAGCUAGAUCCGUCUUUGACGCGAGCGGUGGAUUUAGCGGCACAAACUCAUGGCGGCGUUAGGAUCUCGGUGGUGGAAGACCUCAUCAUCUGUAAUUCUUUAGAAGAGUUGGUCCUGGGUGGGAGAGGUGUCAAUUUGUGCAGUUUAGAACUAUCUUAGUUCGUUAAUUUUGUACUUUGAUUUAUUAAACCUUGUAAGAUAAUGUAAUACUAAAGAAAUUCAGAUGUAUCCCCUUGGAAAAACCAGUGAUAUUUUUUGUUCUUGUACUCUAUAUUUUAUUAAUAAUAAUGAGAAAGGUUUACGA